Long non-coding RNA from Pezoporus flaviventris, 1064 nucleotides. RefSeq lists it as uncharacterized. The record is from RefSeq and is a predicted model, not a curated record. NCBI's taxonomy places the organism in Eukaryota, Metazoa, Chordata, Aves, Psittaciformes, Psittacidae. The transcript is spliced from 3 exons.
AACACAGCAAAACCUGAAUUGAACCCAGGUUUGAAAGCCAGGACUGCUCUGUUCCCAAUUCUGACACUAGAUCACAAUUUAACCUUCUGAGCAUGCUGCUUUGCCACACUGGAAAGGCCUUGCCAAACAGGAGGCAGAGAGGGAAGCAUCAGUGUUGUUCCAGCAGCUUGAAAACAACUGGAGUGGCUGGAACUGCUCUGUGAUUUCAGUUGUGGCAGAUCAACAUCUUUAUAGAGAAAGAUGAUUUACUGCCUCAAAACCAGAAGCACAGAAUAGGUGGGAGCAGCAACACUGCUCUCAUAACAUGCUUCAUCAACGUCUAGAAAGAUCAACCUGACAGAAGAACUCAAUGCCUUGUUAUACGUUGAGAGAUGGCAUGGUGGUUCCCAGCCACAUCUUGUGUGGAGGAAACACAAGCACUAGGAAGAGUGGAAAGACACCACCAGAAGGUCCUGAACAGCUCAUCCCAGAGCUUUCCAACAUAAACCUUCAGCCACUCUUGACUGGCAGCAGGUCCAAAGGAAUGACCUCAGAAGUGAAGGCUUCUACAUCACUUCAGCCAUCCAGGAUCCCUUACAUUCUCACUCUCCUGAUUAUUUAUACUGUUGUAAAACCAGAAGCAUGGAAAUUGCUGUUCGCUCCCUUUCACUUCCUUUCCCUGCAACCCUACAGAAAUAGCCGAGUUACAUAAGACAGAAACACCCACAAAAUAACAAUGAAAACAGAUGUGUCAAAAACCAGAAAAACAAACGUGCAUGUGCCUACUGUGUGUGCCAGUUCUAAGUAAAGUGCUCAUCCAGGUUAUGAACAGCGCAGUGAACUACCGUAAUAGUCCCAAACCCAAAGCGAGGGUCCGGUAGUUAAAGAGCUCAGACCUAAGGGUUUGGUGGUGUGGGGUAUAUAUUGUUUGGGGUUUUAUAUUCCCUUUGCCUCUCUCAGGUUUGCUUCUUCCAGACCAAGAAUUUCAGAGCAGUUCACAAAAAUGGCAAUUUUCAAGAAAGCUCCAUGCUAUGUUCUGUACCCACACUUCUCUGGAAACCACCAGGAGCUGUUCACCUCACUUA